Molecule: ribosomal RNA, 413 nt
Filed under: uncultured bacterium
Lineage: Bacteria
Description: bacterial SSU rRNA
Rfam family: Bacterial small subunit ribosomal RNA
Source: RNAcentral
GUGCCAGCAGCCGCGGUAAGACGAGGGAUCCUAGCGUUGUUCGGAAUCAUUGGGCGUAAAGCGGGUGUAGGUGGACUUAUAAGUCAGGUGUGAAAUCCCAGGGCUCAACCCUGGAAGUGCACUUGAUACUGCAAGUCUUGAGUGUGGUAGAGGUUACUGGAAUUCCUGGUGUAGUGGUAAAAUACGUAGAUAUCAGGAGGAAUACCGGAGGCGAAGGCGGGUAACUGGGCCAACACUGACACUGAGACCCGAAAGCGUGGGGAUCAAACAGGAUUAGAUACCCUGGUAGUCCACGCUGUAAACGAUGGAUACUUGUUGUUAGAGGUAUUGACCCCUCUAGUGACGUAGCUAACGCGAUAAGUAUCCCGCCUGGGGGGUACGGUCGCAAGAUUAAAACUUAAAGGAAUUGACGG